AAAGAAAGUGGCAGAGUGGUUAUGCGGUUGGCUUGAAACCAUCAUAUGGGGGUUCAAUUCCUUCCUUUCUCG
This 72-nucleotide transfer RNA is filed under the name Novumbra hubbsi. RNAcentral describes it as "tRNA-Ser". It matches the Rfam family "tRNA". Rfam says of the family: Transfer RNA (tRNA) molecules are approximately 80 nucleotides in length. Their secondary structure includes four short double-helical elements and three loops (D, anti-codon, and T loops). Lineage: Eukaryota; Metazoa; Chordata; Actinopteri; Esociformes; Umbridae. The record is from RNAcentral.